GAUGAACGCUGGCGGCGUGCUUAACACAUGCAAGUCGAACGGAAAGGCCCCAGCUUGCUGGGGUACUCGAGUGGCGAGCGGGUGAGUAACACGUGGGUGAUCUGCCCUGCACUUUGGGAUAAGCUUGGGAAACUGGGUCUAAUACCGAAUAUGACCACUUCUUGGAUGUUGUGGUGGAAAGCUUUUGCGGUGUGGGAUGAGCCUGCGGCCUAUCAGCUUGUUGGUGGGGUAAUGGCCUACCAAGGCGGCGACGGGUAUCCGGCCUGAGAGGGUGUACGGACACAUUGGGACUGAGAUACGGCCCAGACUCCUACGGGAGGCAGCAGUGGGGAAUAUUGCACAAGGGGCGCAAGCCUGAUGCAGCGACGCCGCGUGGGGGAUGAAGGCCUUCGGGUUGUAAACUCCUUUCGCUAUCGACGAAGCCACUUGUGGUGACGGUAGGUAGAUAAGAAGCACCGGCUAACUACGUGCCAGCCGCCGCCGUAA
RNAcentral lists this ribosomal RNA (486 nucleotides) under uncultured bacterium. Its description in RNAcentral is "partial 16S ribosomal RNA". It matches the Rfam family "Bacterial small subunit ribosomal RNA", at positions 28 to 523 of the family's 1533-position model. The record is from RNAcentral.